RNAcentral lists this unclassified non-coding RNA (234 nucleotides) under Hevea brasiliensis (rubber tree). The record is from RNAcentral. Lineage: Eukaryota; Viridiplantae; Streptophyta; Magnoliopsida; Malpighiales; Euphorbiaceae.
GAUCAUGUCAGCUGCUAAUACUGGUGAGCAUGAAAUAAUUGCGUCUCCAGGAGGGGCUGCUGGUGCUGGUUUUCCAAGUAUGAGCUAUCCAGCUAGAGUGACUAUUAUUGCCCAGAAAAAGAUGAAGUUGACGGAAAGCUUAUUCUGUUGCCAAAGUCACUUCAAGAACUACUCGAUAUUGGUGCCAAAAAAUUUGGAUUCUUCCCCACCAAAAUUCUAAGCAAAGAAGGGGCC